GAGUUUGAUCAUGGCUCAGAUUGAACGCUGGCGGCAGGCCUAACACAUGCAAGUCGAGCGGUAGAGAGAAGCUUGCUUCUCUUGAGAGCGGCGGACGGGUGAGUAAUGCCUAGGAAUCUGCCUGGUAGUGGGGGAUAACGCUCGGAAACGGACGCUAAUACCGCAUACGUCCUACGGGAGAAAGCAGGGGACCUUCGGGCCUUGCGCUAUCAGAUGAGCCUAGGUCGGAUUAGCUAGUUGGUGAGGUAAUGGCUCACCAAGGCGACGAUCCGUAACUGGUCUGAGAGGAUGAUCAGUCACACUGGAACUGAGACACGGUCCAGACUCCUACGGGAGGCAGCAGUGGGGAAUAUUGGACAAUGGGCGAAAGCCUGAUCCAGCCAUGCCGCGUGUGUGAAGAAGGUCUUCGGAUUGUAAAGCACUUUAAGUUGGAGGAAGGGCAGUAAAUUAAUACUUUGCUGUUUGACGUUACCGACAGAAUAAGCACCGGCUAACUCUGUGCCAGCCG
RNAcentral lists this ribosomal RNA (508 nucleotides) under uncultured bacterium. RNAcentral's name for it is "bacterial SSU rRNA". It matches the Rfam family "Bacterial small subunit ribosomal RNA", at positions 9 to 514 of the family's 1533-position model. The record is from RNAcentral.